RNAcentral lists this long non-coding RNA (220 nucleotides) under Mytilus galloprovincialis (Mediterranean mussel). The record is from RNAcentral. Lineage: Eukaryota; Metazoa; Mollusca; Bivalvia; Mytilida; Mytilidae.
GCGGCCAUCUUGGUUGGUUGGCCGAGUAACCGAACACAUUUUUUAAACUAGAUACCCCAAUGAUGAUUGUGACCAAGUUUGGUUAAAUUUGGCCCAGUAGUUUCAGAGGAGAAGAUUUUUGUAAAAGUUAACGACGACGGACGACGACGGACGCCGGACGCCAAGUGAUGAGAAAAGCUCACUUGGCCCUUCGGGCCAGGUGAGCUAAAAAAAUGAGAUA